Molecule: microRNA, 22 nt
Filed under: Oreochromis niloticus (Nile tilapia)
Lineage: Eukaryota; Metazoa; Chordata; Actinopteri; Cichliformes; Cichlidae
Description: oni-miR-10602
Source: miRBase by way of RNAcentral
GCCGAGAACGCGAGCACGGACU